RNAcentral lists this ribosomal RNA (758 nucleotides) under uncultured bacterium. RNAcentral describes it as "bacterial SSU rRNA". It matches the Rfam family "Bacterial small subunit ribosomal RNA", at positions 752 to 1501 of the family's 1533-position model. The record is from RNAcentral.
CCCGAAAGCUUAGGGAGCGACAGAUUAGAUACCCUGGUAGUCCUAGCCGUAACCAUGGGCACUUAGGUGUCGGCUCGCAAGGUCGGGUGCCGCAGUUAACACAUUAAGUGCCCCACCUGGGAGUACGUCGCCACGAUGAAACUCAAAGGAAUUGACGGGGGCCCGCACAACGGUGAAGCAUGUGGUUUAAUAGAAUGCUACGCCUGGACCCUUACCAGGACUUGACAUGUAUGUGGUAGUGAACCGAAAGGGAACGACCUCGCAAGAGGAGCAUACACAGGUGUUGCAUGGCUGUCGUCAGCUCGUGUCGUGAGAUGUUGGGUUAAGUCCUGUAACGAGCGCAACCCUUAUUUCUAGUUGCAACCCUAAGCCAGUUUACUGGUUUGGGGGCACUCUAGAAAGACUGCCAGUGAUAAACUGGAGGAAGGUGGGGACGACGUCAAGUCAGUACGGCCUUUAUGUCCUGGGCUACACACGUGCUACAAUGGGAUGUACAAUGAGAUGCAAGACCGCGAGGUGGAGCAAAUCUUUAAAGCAUCCCUCAGUUCGGAUUGCAGGCUGAAAUUCGCCUGCAUGAAGUUGGAAUCGCUAGUAACGGCGCAUCAGCCACGGCGCCGUGAAUACGUUCCCGGGCCUUGUACACACCGCCCGUCAAGCCAACUGAGUCGGUUGCACCCGAAGUCAUUGUUCUAACUCGAAAGAGGGGAAGAUGCCGAAGGUGUGAUCGGUAAGGGGGGCUAAGUCGUAACAAGGUAGCC